GUACCUUUCUUGGCUGAUCCCUUUCGCUGUAUAGCGUGCUCGUUUGGGUUGGGCGUCGGCUAAGGGUGCUCGGAGUGUGGAUUAACUCCAGUCUCCUAUCAGUUUGAGUGACAGGUGGUGGUUAUCGUAGGCGAUUGAUUUUGGAAACGUUUCAACUUCAACCCGUAACAGUUGGAUUCACAACGGAUAUGGGGUAGGAAGGUAUUUGGAACGUUCUUCAACGAGUAGAUAUCUUGUGAGGAUUAAAGGCUACCGAUCGAGGAGUGUGUGAAAAGCUUGGAUCAUCGGAGUGACUAAAUCUAGUCAUCAACUUCGGCAAAGGUAUGAACCCAAGGGCCAUUGUGGAUGGUGGCCGAAUGUGAGAAAUCGCAUAGGAGAUCUCGUCAAGGAAUAUCGCAAAUCAGGUGAGCCUUAAUAUGGGGACUUGGGCCGGAGGGGAUUCAGAGUGGCCACGGUGAUCGCUUUUGGACCUUUAAAUAAGCGUUGGUUUUCAUUUAAUUUCCUUUAAUUAUUAUUUAUUUUUGGGUUGUAAUAAGGCCAUUUUUAACUUUUCUUUUAUUUCUUCUCGAGAUUAUUUUAUUCUUAAUAACUUUAAAAUUGGUUGAUAAUUA
This is a long non-coding RNA of Gossypium arboreum, 611 nucleotides long. RefSeq lists it as uncharacterized. The record is from RefSeq and is a predicted model, not a curated record. Lineage: Eukaryota; Viridiplantae; Streptophyta; Magnoliopsida; Malvales; Malvaceae. The transcript is spliced from 5 exons.